GGCCAGACUCCUACGGGAGGCAGCAGUGGGGAAUAUUGCACAAUGGGGGAAACCCUGAUGCAGCGACGCCGCGUGAGCGAUGAAGUAUUUCGGUAUGUAAAGCUCUAUCAGCAGGGAAGAAAAUGACGGUACCUGACUAAGAAGCCCCGGCUAACUACGUGCCAGCAGUCGCGGUAAUACGUAGGGGGCAAGCGUUAUCCGGAUUUACUGGGUGUAAAGGGAGCGUAGACGGCAGUGCGAGUCUGGAGUGAAAGGCGGGGGCUCAACCCCCGGACUGCUCUGGAAACUGUACGGCUGGAGUGCAGGAGAGGUAAGUGGAAUUCCUAGUGGAGCGGUGAAAUGCGUAGAUAUUAGGAGGAACACCAGUGGCGAAGGCGGCGUACUGGAUUGUAACUGACGUUGAGGCUCGAAAGCGUGGGGAGCAAACAGGAUUAGAUACCCCUGUAUUA
Molecule: ribosomal RNA, 449 nt
Filed under: uncultured bacterium
Lineage: Bacteria
Description: bacterial SSU rRNA
Rfam family: Bacterial small subunit ribosomal RNA
Source: RNAcentral